Molecule: ribosomal RNA, 914 nt
Filed under: uncultured marine archaeon
Lineage: Archaea
Description: bacterial SSU rRNA
Rfam family: Archaeal small subunit ribosomal RNA
Source: RNAcentral
UUCCGGUUGAUCCUGCCGGACCUGACUGCUAUCGGAUUGAUACUAAGCCAUGCGAGUCUUUGUAGUAAUACAAGGCAUACGGCUCAGUAACACGUAGUCAACCUACCCUAUGGACGAGAAUAAUCUCGGGAAACUGAGCAUAAUUCUUGAUAGAUCAUAAUGCCUGGAAUGGUUUAUGGUUAAAAUGAUUCGUCGCCAUAGGAUGGGACUGCGGCCUAUCAGCUUGUUGGUGAGGUAAUGGCCCACCAAGGCGAUUACAGGUACGGGCUCUGAGAGGAGAAGCCCGGAGAUGGGUACUGAGACACGGACCCAGGCCCUAUGGGGCGCAGCAGGCGAGAAAACUUUGCAAUGUGCGAAAGCACGACAAGGUUAAUCCGAGUGAUUUCUGCUAAAGAAAUCUUUUGCCAGUCGUAAAAACGCUGGUGAAUAAGGGGUGGGCAAGUUCUGGUGUCAGCCGCCGCGGUAAAACCAGCACCUCAAGUGGUCAGGAUGAUUAUUGGGCCUAAAGCAUCCGUAGCCGGCUUUGUAAGUUUUCGGUUAAAUCCAUGUGCUCAACGCAUGGGCUGCCGAAAAUACUGCAUAGCUAGGGAGUGGGAGAGGUAGACGGUACUCAGUAGGUAGGGGUAAAAUCCUUUGAUCUAUUGAUGACCACCUGUGGCGAAGGCGGUCUACCAGAACACGUUCGACGGUGAGGGAUGAAAGCUGGGGGAGCAAACCGGAUUAGAUACCCGGGUAGUCCCAGCUGUAAACGAUGCAGACUCGAUGAUGCAUUGGCAUAAUAGCCAUUGCAGUGUCGCAGGGAAGCCGUUAAGUCUGCCGCCUGGGAAGUACGUACGCAAGUAUGAAACUUAAAGGAAUUGGCGGGGGAGCACCACAAGGGGUGAAGCCUGCGGUUCAAUUGGAUUCAACGCCGG